AUGUGAUAUUAGCUAGUUGGUGAGGUAACGGCUCACCAAGGCCAAGAUGUCUAGCGGGUGUGAGAGCACGACCCGCGCCACUGGCACUGAGACACUGGCCAGACACCUACGGGUGGCUGCAGUCGAGGAUCUUCGUCAAUGGACGCAAGUCUGAACGAGCGACGCCGCGUGAGCGAUGAAGGCCUUCGGGUUGUAAAGCUCUUUAGGGGGGAGAAAAACUGAUCUAUCCCCCAAAAUAAGCUCGGGCUAAGUUCGUGCCAGCAGCCGCGGUAAGACGAACCGAGCAAACGUUAUUCGGAAUCACUGGGCUUAAAGGGCGCGUAGGCGGGUCAUCAAGUCUGUGGUGAAAUCCUCCAGCUUAACUGGAGAACUGCCGUGGAUACUGGUGAUCUUGAGGAAUGUAGGGGCAUCUGGAACUGGUGGUGGAGCGGUGAAAUGCGUUGAUAUCAUCAGGAACUCCGGUGGCGAA
Molecule: ribosomal RNA, 469 nt
Filed under: uncultured bacterium
Lineage: Bacteria
Description: bacterial SSU rRNA
Rfam family: Bacterial small subunit ribosomal RNA
Source: RNAcentral